Molecule: ribosomal RNA, 433 nt
Filed under: uncultured bacterium
Lineage: Bacteria
Description: partial 16S ribosomal RNA
Rfam family: Bacterial small subunit ribosomal RNA
Source: RNAcentral
AGCGAACGCUGGCGGCAGGCCUAACACAUGCAAGUCGAACGGACCCUUCGGGGUUAGUGGCGGACGGGUGAGUAACACGUGGGAACGUGCCUUUAGGUUCGGAAUAGCUCCUGGAAACGGGUGGUAAUGCCGAAUGUGCCCUUCGGGGGAAAGAUUUAUCGCCUUUAGAGCGGCCCGCGUCUGAUUAGCUAGUUGGUGAGGUAACGGCUCACCAAGGCGACGAUCAGUAGCUGGUCUGAGAGGAUGACCAGCCACACUGGGACUGAGACACGGCCCAGACUCCUACGGGAGGCAGCAGUGGGGAAUCUUGCGCAAGGGGCGAAAGCCUGACGCAGCCAUGCCGCGUGAAUGAUGAAGGUCUUAGGAUUGUAAAAUUCUUUCACCGGGGACGAUAAUGACGGUACCCGGAGAAGAAGCCCCGGCUAACUUCGUG